CACACGCAGGCCACGUGCCGGCACCCCCCGGUGGCCGCUCGCCGCCUCGCCUUUAUAAGCGGCCGGGCGGGCGGAGCUCAGCUCAUCGCACUCAAGCUCACCCUGCAACUUGCUCGCUCUCGUCUCGGCUCUGAUAUUUUCUGCCCUGCCCUCUCGCUGCCCGGCGUCAGCCUUCCUUGGUCGGGAGACGAAGGAGAGAGAUAAAGGAGAAGAUGUCGGACGGCACGGCGACCUGCAUCGACAUCAUCCUCGCCAUCAUCCUGCCGCCGCUCGGGGUCUUCUUCAAGUUCGGCUGCGGGGUCAGUAAAAUCUACUAGCUCUGGUUCAGAGCUCUUGCUGACUCAUUUGCACCCCAGCGUGCUCAAAUACUUGCAUGAUACUGUGCGCUGGUUUAUGACUACUGUGUUCGUGGGGGCUAUAGCUGAUAGAUGGCUCUUGCUCUGCUUGCAGGUUGAGUUCUGGAUCUGCCUCGUCCUCACCUUCUUCGGCUACCUCCCCGGCAUCAUCUACGCCGUCUGGGCCAUCACCAAGUAGAGGGGCCUCUUCGAGGUACUAUUCUACAUGCACCUUCUUCAACAACCUGUUACUGUGAAACUGCUCGUGUAGAGAAAAACAAAACACGCACCUCGCUUCUUGAUGCUUCCAGUGAAUUGUUGCUUUAAUUUCCUUUUGAUUAUGGGCAUGCAGGUGAUGAUGGGGCCGGGCCUCGUGCGUGUGGUGUCCUCGUCGUGCCUGGUGUGAUCUGCAGUCGUUUGAGAUGUAAUUUCUUCUAGUUUCUCUUCCCUUUGGCUGGAUGGUGCGCACCGUGUUCGUCCCUCUCCGCGGGAUACGGGCUGCACCUCCUCCGAUCCAUUGUAUCGCCCAGUUCCUCUGCACAUUUCCGUCCCUGUACUUCGAUUGAUUAAUUAAUUCGUCCGUUCUUUAGUGGAAAUUAAUUCUCUGCUUGUUUGGCUGCUUGAUUGAUUACUUAAUACUGUUUUUCCUUUCUUUUUCAAUAUCUUUUUUGUCUGUUUGCUUGGCACUCUGGGAUUGGGAAUAAAUGAAUAAUCACCCAUGGUUUGGUGAGCUUAGGCCUUGUCUAGUUGCCUGAAUUUAAGUGCCCAAAAUCACUGUUGUAGCACGGUAGCACACUGUAGCGUUUCGUUUGUAUUUGUAAAUUAUUGUCCAAAUAUUCACUAAUUAGGCUCAUAGAUUCGUCUCGCAAAGUACAACAAAACUGUGCAAUUAGUUUUUGAUUUUAUCUACAUUUAAUACUCCAUACAUCUAUCGUAAGUUUGAUGUGAUGGAAAAUCUUCUUUUUUGCAUAUGUCAAAGUUGGGAGUUUGGGGAAAACUAAGCAGCCCUUAGCCUCUUGGGGAAGAAGGGUAGCUAGCUGGCUAGGUGCUCGUUCCAAACGGAACGGGCCUGUCAGAUCAAACGGAUCACGGAAAGGGUAAUAUCUAAUAUAAUGGCGUCCAAGAAAUAAUACCAUGGGCGCUUGUCGCGUUUCUAGCGGGAGGCUAGUCCCCGUCGAGGCUUUUUUUUUUGUUCGUAUAUCGAUUGAUCCUAUGAAAUCAUAUCACUUACCUUUUUAUUUAAAAAAGAAGUGAUUUUUUUUUGCGAAUCAAAGAAAUUAAUAUAUUGGCGAUCCGGUGCUAGCAGGUGACGAGUCAGAGAAUGCCAGCUGACCCCUGGCGGCUGGGCGCGCCUAGUGCCCGAUCCGGACGUGUCAUGUGAUUUGCUCCACCUGUCCGAUCCGGACGAUGUACUCCACCUGUCAAAUGUGAACGGUGAAAAUGAGAGAGAGAGAGAGAGAGAGAGAGAGAGAGAGAGAGAGAGAGAGAGAGACCCGUGUCUCGAUGCUAGUCGUUGUCGAUACUAGCGAUGGGCAGAUACAUUGGCAUCUAGUAGCAGCUUUGGUCGAUUAAAGAAAUGGCUGGUCGUGUCGCUGUACCUGGCUGAGCGGGAGGCGAGAGCCCAGCGGCGACGGGUGUCUCUGCAGGUGCAGCGCUGCACACACAGAGCAGCAGCAGCAGCUGCAUCCUGGGGGAAACGGACGUGCGGAUGACCGCGCGUGCCAUGAAUUGGGUUUCGCUUUCCCGUGUGAGCGGACUAGCAGACCAGCUCACGGCCGAAAGCAACCGCCCAUCUAACAAUAGCAGCCUCCGCCCCGCCCCGCCCCGGCCGGGCGCCAGACGCGAGCCGAGCCAAGUCAUGACGCACUGGCACAGACGUUGGCGCAGCGGAUCGGAUCGCCAGACCCCAGAAACGCCGCGCCAUCCUCGUGGUUUUCUGGUGAGUUGCGCGGGACCAGUGGCGCGCGCAAGGAGCCAAGGAGGGCUAGGCGCCACCGUGAGCAGGGCGCCGGGCCCGGGCCCUGUCGCACCAAGCGGGCAGGGGAAUCCAAUCUCCUUCCCCGCGCGCGGCGCCCCCACCGCCGCUCACGCGCCGGCCGAACCAGCAACGAAUCAUGCGCGCAACGGCAAGCUUCUUGGUGCGCCGCAUGUGCCCGCUCCGCAUGGUAACAGAACAGGAACAGCCUCCGCCGUCCGUACUCGUAGGCAGCCGCAACCGACAGGCAAGCGAAAGACGGAAAGGAGAAGAGAGAGGCGUCCUGAAACUUGUUGCCGGACGAGACGAGCGCCAACUAGUGCGUGGGCCUGAUCGCGUCUCCAUGGGCCGGCCGGGGGCACUGGGCUGUCCCCCCGCACACACAACAGGCCCAAUAGCUUAGAUUUUCAAACCUCUUCCCAGCGGCCCGCUUUCCACGAUGGGUUUGCACAAGGGGAUGGGAUUCGAUUCGACCAAAAAUGGUUUUGAAAUGAGAGAAUGGGGAAUCCCACUAUGCUUAGCUUGCAGUUGCAGUGUACCACCACCAGAUAAAACUGAGAUAAAACCGUUGACAAUAUCUAUCUUCGAGCAAAACUGUUCGAAGGGUCUUUCGGCACUUUUUUUUUUGCACAAAGCUUAAUCUGAGGACAGCCACGCAGGACAUCAAUUCUGAGCCCUGCAUAAUAGAUCAAAGUCAGUAUUUUGUCGAUGUCCCAGGAGCUAACUAUUUCAAAAUGCAUUCUUAAAUAUUACUAAAUCGGUAACAAUUUCAGCGCCCACCUACGAUACCCCAUAAUCUCAUUGGGCACUUCAAAUAGCACACCUCCCAGUUGAGCUAUAUUCACACGCAGGCAAUCAACUCCAGCUAGCUAAUAGUUCGAUCGAGCUAGCUUAUUAAUCUCGCAAGGCAGAUGUAAAUUUAGGAUUACCACAUAAUCACAUGUGGAAAAAAAUAUAGCAAUAAGUUCUAAACAUCCAAAGUCCACCAUGAAUAAAGCAUGCACGAUACACAAGUCAUAGCUGGUGGGUGAGCAGUUUACUUGAAUUCUCCCCUUCAGAAAUUAGAACAGCCUUGACCAGAAUAUAAAUUUAUAUACCACAGGCACUGCAACUUCUACAGUGGUACUGUAGUUGUUACAAGUCCCACCUCAGAAAUCACCUGCGUUGAAUAACUGACAGGUUUGGUAAGGGGCUUAAGGCUAUCAGCACCGCGUGAGCGGUAUACCCAUCUGCAAAAUCAUGGGGCCCACACGCUGUGCAGAUUUCCAUCCACGGAAUGCUGCCGUGAGGAGACCUCUAUACCCAUCUGCAAAUCCACGUGCUGAGCAACGAGUGGGCGUGGGGUCCCGUGCGCGGCGCUGGCAGCAGCUGGUGUGGGAGAGAGAUUGGGCUGGAGAGAGAGGAUAGCGUAGGAACACGCAGACGCUGGGUUUGCAGUAUCCCUGUAGGGAACGGUGACAUACAGAUUCAUAUAGAGACCUGCGCUGCAGCUACUCAACCUCCACAUUUCACGUACAGGCCCGCUUACCGCUCAACAGUGCGGAUAGCCUAACAUAAUUUGAGUGCGCACCAAAACAUGACAACACCACAAUCUGUUUACAUGAUAAUAGCACAUUGAUAUGUCAGAUCCUAUCCCUUGGUUAUAAUGCAAUGCAUAUGAAGAGUUGAUGCCUUCCAGUCACGAGGUAGUCACCUAAACCCUCUUUUGAAUUCCCCAGCAGGAACACCGAGGGUAGGGUAAACCCUAAACUUCGACAAGGUUUCUUGCAUAUAGUACCGAUCUCGACGUUCGUGACGCCUGCAAAGAGAUGCAAAAAGUCAGAUGCAUUUGUACCAAAAAUACGAGUUAUAUAAAAUUCUUUUCCCACAUGAAACUGCAGUGCAUAACCUAGUGAUGCAAUUUUACGUAUCUAGGUAUCUUACAUAGUGACCCUAGUAAAGUAAACCACUGCAGUUGUAAUAUUCAUCUGGGAGUUCCAAUUUUACAUGCUAACUAGAGUAGAAGCAAGCUAGUAUUGUUUAAACGCAAGCAAUGUUACCACACUAAAGAGAGAAUUAAAAUAGCAGCCAUCUUUUGUUCCAAUUUUACAUGCUAACUUGUCCUCAGAUUAAGCUUUGUGCCAAAAGGUGCCGAAAGACCCUUCGAACAGUUUUGCCCGAAGAUAGAUAUUGUCAGCAGUUUUACCUCUACUGCGUUUUGUUUUUGUUCGUCUUCACGCUGGGAUCCUCAUCCCGAGCUAUGCUGUUACAAAUCCCGAGCAUCCUUCCUGCUCGUUUGUGCUACAAAUGUAAAUUCUCCCGGCACAUGUUCUAGGGAAGUGAUCUGAAUACGGUUGCACUGACAUGUAUCCAAAAAAAUCUUUGCCACUGACGUUUAGCGUUGCCUAGAGGAAUUUUUAUGGAAUUGCCUGAGUAUGUAAUGUUGAUGCAAGUUGUUUUUCUUUUUGAAACUUAUUUUGAUGCAAGUUGUGGCAUGUGUUAAAUUUCAUCUUAGCGUUUUCCAUUGUGGAAGGUGAUCAGGCUUGAAUAUGGUUUCUUCUCCUGUUAACAGAAUCGCUACGGGUUAAGACAUCAUAAUAACUAGUAUUGGCCAAUCUUACCAUUGUACUGCUAUCUCUCAAGCUCGUAAUGCAGGACAGAUACCAGAUAAUCAGAACAAAUGGCAAGAUGAUUUUGGGGAUUAUGGGGUGGUUUUAUAGGUCCAACAGUUUACAUAAUAUUUUCCCCUUCAUAGACAGAUUAAUAGACUUCAUAUGUUCUUAUGUGGUUCUACAGUCCAGGUGCACAAUUGAGACUAUUUGAACGCAAAAUUUUGGUUCCACUCUUUUUUUAGCAAAGAGGUCCUCUUUCUCUAGCAUUGUGAUCACUGAUCAGGCGGCAGGAGAUACUACUUGGGAGAAAAGAAAGGUAGUUGUCAGAAAAGUAGAUGCUCCCUCGAAAAGCUGAAUGGAAUCGGCCAAAAAAUAAAUGCAGCAACCUUUUUUGUUUGUUGUUUGGGUUCCAAAAAACUGACUGAAAUCAUCAAAUAUUGCAGUCAAAAUUUCCCGUACCACAAAAUACUGUGAUUCAUUAUGUGUCAAAUUUCUAUUGGAUGGGAAAAUUAUUCAAGCCGCAAAGAAAAUUAGCCGAAUGUGUAGGUUCUACCAUUACGCUUUAUUCUGUACUUGUUGCUACUUGCUAGUAUAUGACGUCCGUUUUUUUUUUGGCCGUAUUAACAUUUGCUCGAACAGAGCACGCCCCCUGUUUCCAUUAAAAACCAGAUUCCAGCUAAACUAUCGUAUCUUCAUGUCCUAGGUUCACUGUAACAACAAGCUAAGUAGAGUGGGAUUCCCCAUUCUCUCAGUUCAAAACCAUUUUUGGUCGAAUCGAAUCCCAUCCCCUUGUGCAAACCCAUCGUGGAAAGCGGGCCGCUGGGAGGAGGUUUGAAAAUCUAGGCUAUUGGGCCUGUUGUGUGUGCGGGAGGACAGCCCAGUGCCCCCGGCCGGCCCACGGAGACGCGAUCAGGCCCACGCAUUAGUUGGCGCUCGUCUCGUCCUGCAAUAAGUUUCAGGACGCCUCUCUCUUCUCCUUUCCGUCUUUCGCUUGCCUGUCGGUUGCGGCUGCCUACGAGUACGGACGGCGGAGGCUGUUCCUGUUCUGUUACCAUGCGGAGCGGGCACAUGCGGCGCACCAAGAAGCUUGCCGUUGCGCGCAUGGUUCGUUGCUGGUUCGGCCGGCGCGUGAUCGGCGGUGGGGGCGCCGCGCGCGGGGAAGGGGUUCGCACAACGAAGCGUGAGUUACAAGCACCCGGAGCAAAAAUCUAUUUACACGCACAAGAGAUUAUCGACUCGGGAUCGGAUCUCUGCUAAUAAAACGAUCGGCACCUCGGCGCAGCAACAGGUGCAUACGCAUGCUCACAUACAUUAUAUAAGAGCUUGAUGAAACCUUAGCUGACUGACUUCUGACUUCAGAAGAGAACAAGAGAUGGCAGCCGAUGUUAUGGCAACAAAGCAGCUCAGGUUGGCACGGCAGGCUCCCCUACUACAAUUCACACAAUUAGAUGUGCACAGACGAUACUACAAUCUGACUCAACCAUACCAUAUGGCACGAGGAACAUAGAAUCAAAUUGGCUGUUGCCCAGAAACAACUGCAGUUCAAGCAACGGGUAAUGUUGCACUACAACAAGGCCUUCCAAGGAUUCAGGUACAGGAGAAGAUGGGCAACCCCAAUGAUCUGCACUGCAGGCAUCCCUUACGUUUAGGACCUAACUAAAAAAACAAACCAUCCCAAGUGCGGAGAGUAGUAUCUCCCUGGCAUAUGAUUUUUCUACACCAGUGAAUUUGCAUGUAAAGCAAUAUAGGGUAGUGAUCCAAAUUCUCAUAUGGUUUAAAGCACAAGCACAUUAGAAGCAAACUCCUAGUGGGGUGCAAAUGUCAAAAUGCAACAAGGUAUCACAGUUACUUGAGCUCUUUAACACAGCAGAGUAUCACAGUUUGGCAAGCUCGAAAGUUAUCAACCCAAUGGACAGCUAAGCUGUGAAGAGAUCAAAACCUCACUGCAUUGUAUGAUAACAAAAACAACAAUACAGCCACCGUUUUUCAAGAGUUCCAAUGAAAACAUCAGCACCGCCCCCUGCAACUUCAAAAAAGUAAACAACCAGCCACGGUAGAGUAUAGUUGUACCUACUGCGCCUCCUCUGCAUCUCGACUCUUCUUCUUUUUCUUCUCCUUUUUCUUCUCGCUCUUCUCAGAUUCCGCGCUGUCUCGGGUUUGAGCAAUCUCUGGAUCCGUGACAUCGCUUCCUUCCUUGCUCUUCUUCUUCUUCUUUUUCUUUUCGCUUCCAUCCUUCUCGUCAGCCACAUCAACCUUCUCCUCCUUCAGUUCCGCCGAUCCUGAUUCAGCCUUAUCUUUCUUCUUCUUCUUCUUCUUCUCACUCUUUUCCCCUUCCACUACCUCAGCAGCUUCCUCAACCUUGAUCUUCUUCACAGGAAUGGAAGCAUCACCAUCAUCAUUCUCCUCAUCCUUCUUCCUCUUCUUCUCCUUGACCUCUUCACCGCCGACAGCAUCCUGUUCCACCUUUGCCUUCUCUGGCUCAGGAGCAGCUGCAAUGCUAGCAAUCGAUACAUCACCGCCAGUGGGAAGCACCACAUUCCGGAGCCACUCAGCUGGGGUCUUCUCAUUUGGCUUCCCAUGCUUAUCAAGGAGGCCCUCAGCAAUCAGCUUUUUCUUCUUGAGGGCCACUGGGCCAAGCCCCCACUUCCUCGGGUAUGUGUCUCUGUCCAUCACAACCCUCUUGAUCUUUGCGACCGCACCAUGGUCACAAGUCGCCAUGACAGCAGUGGUCAUCUCAGCAAUACCUAUAGCAAUGGCCUCCCCCUUUGUUGUCAUCAGAACAACCUCCUCUCCAGUCUCAAUAUCAUUCUCAAACCGAAGCAACCCAGGGAUCAUGAGCUUAGCACCAUAGCAGAUAGCAUUCACAGCAGAGUCCUUCACAACAAGCCUCUUGUAGCUAGUAAGCAGUACCUCAAGCGGCAUGACGAUGCGCCUCAGGUAGGACUCGUCCUUGUGGUUGUCGAGCGACCACAUCGCGUCCAUCACAUCGUGCAUGGUCACCAUGUUGUCCUGCUCCCCCAGGAUCCCCGACCGGACACGGCGCAGCUCCUGCAUAUGGGCGCCGACGCCAAGGAGCAGGCCAAGGUGCACACAGAGAGUCCGGACAUAGGUACCUGCCUCACAGGAGAUCCAGAACACCGCAAGGUGGCGCUCGGGGUCGUGCUCCAGCAGCUUGCUCUCGUAGAUGGUCCGCACCCUGAGCUGGCGCUUCACCGCGGAGAUGAGCGGCGGGCGCUGGAAGACGGCGCCCGUGAGCGCCUCGAGCGCGCGCGCCACGCGGGCCGUGUCAGGCACGGCGGCGUGGAAGCGCGCGACGCAGACGUACUCCUUCCCGGCGCCCUGCUGCGACUUGACGAGGCGCGUGGCGCGGUCGACGCAGACGAUGAGGUUGCCUGUGACCUUGGGAUCGAGCGUGCCGCUGUGGCCGGUCUUCUCGGCGCGGAGGAGGCGCUUGAUCCAGGCCACCACCUCGUGGGAGGACGGGUUGGAUGGCUUGUCGAGGUUGAUGACGCCGUACCGGAGGUACUCGGCGAGGGGACGCUUGAGCGGCGAGUGGCCGGAGGGGAGAGGGGUGUAGUGGCCGGUGCGGACGUUGAGGCGGUCGUAGUUCUUGAGGAGGAGCGGCCAUGUGGAGGCGUCGAGGGACGGAACCAGGGACUGGGGCUUGAUUAGGUAGCCAUCGGUCUUCUCCUCGGCCUCGGCGAGCGAUGGCGGAUCGAUGGCGGCAGCGGCGUCCUUCGACUUGUGCUUCUUCUUCUUGGAUUUGGCUUGCUCGGAAGCGGGGGACGCGACGGCCGGCGGCGUGGACGACAUGGCGGCGGGGCGGGGGAUUGGGGGACUUGGGGAAUUGGGGGUACCUUCUAGUUGUCUCGGCGAGGGAGGGGGAACGAGGAAGGAGGGUUUAGGGUUUAGUGAGUGGACAAAUGGGCCGAUCGAGGCUCAUGGUGAUGGGCUUUUAGAAGGGCCAGGCCAGAUUAGAUGUUAAGGAGAAACGAAAGCUGAUUUGGCCCAAUGAUCUGGGUUGGGUAGUAAAAGUCAAAACUUUUUUUUAUCCAGGACCGUAUUAGCAGUGAUUAUUACUAAAACACAUAACAUUUUGCAUUCAUUUUUUUACAAAACUUAUUAUUAUUUACAAUGAAGGCCAAAACUAAGACAGAGACCAUAACAUGCUAGGCUCGAGACUUGAGAGUGAUUGUCAUGUAAGGUGCAACUCGUAAAGAAAGGCCUCACUCUCACCCCUGAAAAGCUUGUGGAAAGUUAGACAUAUGAAUUGCAAGAUGCCAAUUAGUCAGAGGUCAAAUGCUCAUAACUCAUAAGUGUAGCAAAAGAUGUCUGGCUAUACAUUUUCAUAUUUUCAGAGUUCAAACACACAUGUUUGACAUAUGCGUGAACUUGUGCCCUCUCAAUCUCUAUUGAUGAAUUGCGUUGACUUAUUGUUCUAUCAUCCACAUACACGGUGGGCGGCUGUACUUGAUGCUUGAUGGCGUAAUCCUUAACUAAGCUGGCGGCUGUACUUGAUGCUUGAUGGUGUAAUCCUUAACUAAGCUGUCAAGAACUACUCACUUGGCUACACAAUUAACAUCGUUGGCGGAAAACAAAAAAAAAAGAAACUGUGAAUUGGCUUCCACUCUAAAUCUCUAAUCACAUUGCAAAUUUAACCCUCGAAUACAAUUUUGUUAUUAUUAGGCCUCGUGCCAUCGUGUGUGUGAAGGGUCGAGAAUGGAGAGAGUCAGAAAAGGGUUGACCUUUUGGAACUUCACAAGGGCAAACAUGCAAUAACAAAAAUAUAGAGGGAUGGAGACGUAACAGCUCCGAGCUGAACUGUGAUGAGAGAUUCGCGACGACCUCCCAAAUGGGGAAACCCCGAGCUAAUCCAAACCCCCGCCGAUCUGAAUUCCCCAAAUCCCGCAACCGGAGCCCUAAUCCCUUCCAAAUCCCAUCUCCGAUCCAAUGCCUCCCACCGGCGACGACCCGUCGGCCGCCGCCGGCAUCUCCUUCCCCGACGCGGACGGCGGCGGCGGCGGCGAUUCUGAAGACGGCGACUUCGCCGACGCUCACCUCCUCGACCCUACCGAUCCGAGCCUCCACAACCCCACCACCUCCUCCGCCACCGGCCUGCCACACGCGGUCCCGGCGGGCGGGAGCGGCGGCGGCCCGGUCACCUCCGGCAACGGCGGGGAGCGGCGGCCCCUGUUCCAGCGGCUCUGGACCGAGGAGGACGAGAUCGUGAUCCUCCGCGGCUUCGCCGAGUUCACCGCCGCGCGCGGCACGGCGUUCGCGUCGCACCAGUACGACACCGACCCCUUCUACGAGGACAUGCGCCGCCGCCUGCAGCUCGAUUUCUCCAAGAGCCAGCUCGUCGAGAAGCUCCGCCGCCUCAAGCGCAAGUACCGCAAUUGCGUCUCCCGGCUCCGCGAGUCCGGCGCCACCUUCUCCUUCCGCUCGCCGCACGAGCAGGCCAUCUUUGAGAUCGCGCGCAACAUCUGGCGCCCCACAAAUAAACACGGCCGCGAUCCCUCGGCUGACUCUGACGAUGAAGACGCCGCCGCGAAUACCAGCCCCAAUGGGGAAGUCAAGUCGCCGUCGGGGCGACAGCGACGCCGCAGGCGCGCGACGGAUUUCGCGGCAGCCUCUGGCACUGCCCCUGCCACCAGCAUGGUGCAGCCCCCUCAGCCAGUGCAAUUGCCUGUGUCAGUGCCUGUCAAGAUGGAAGACUCCCUCCCAGCACUGCCCCAGACACAAAUGCCUGUGACAGUGACCAUGGAUGGCUCAGAGCCUCUCAGGUUGCCAGUCAUGUCACCUCAAUCAGGUGUUUCGGAUGCUGAGAAGAGUUGCCUGACUCCACUACUUAAGGAGAUGAUACGUGCAGUGAUAAAUGUCGGAACUAACCCCUUCGGCACAAAACUGCCGGAGCCGCCACUUGGGUUGCCCAUGGAAGGGGAGAAAUGGAGGAAGCAACGGAUUUUGGAGUUGGAGGUGUACUUGAAGAGGAUCGAGCUGCUGCAGAAUCAGGCAAAGGCAACACUGGAGGAGCUCAAGUCCUCAACCCCUGGGACUUGAUCCAUGAUAAGAUGAGAGCUCUUUCGUUUUAGGAUUCUUGUUAUGAUUCUUAGUGUAGAUGCUUAGGUGUUUUGCAUAUUUUUACGUCCAUAAAAGAAUAUUGUUAACUGGGUUGGGGCUUGGAACUAGUUUCUUUAUGGUUCUAAUUGUUCAUGUGAUAUUGGCUGCCAUUUCUGGUUUUCUCUGAUAGGUUCCUUAUGCUUUGUUUGCUUUGAUAGUGGUAUGCUUUGAGUGGACAGUAUAGUACCCUAUAGAAAGAAGAACAUUUGCAAUUAAUUUAUUAAGAUUACAGAUUAUUCUUAUUUUGUCUUGGCUUCUUAUUCUGUUUUAUGUGUGUUAUCAUGAAGUUAUAUGAUUAUAUUGAAGAGAUUAAACUGUUCCGUGGUAUUGAUGAUGGAUAGUCAUGUUUGGUAAGGUCAUGGAGAUUUUGUAGAGUAAAUGAGCACGAUUUUAUGGAUCUGCUUGGGAAGGCAAUAGGGAUAUACCAAGUGGUGAAAGCUUGACUUGUCUUGAAUUGUUGGCCAUGGCUAUGUUUCUUUCUUUCUUUUUUGUAAAGAUGCAGAAUUGCCAUGUUAUCUCUGCAUAAAAUAAAUGGUUAAUGGUCUGUCCCAUCUGAUUGCAUCUGUACUUACACUGCGAGAAUAUGGCAAAGCUGUAGGAGUAGUGUUAUGCUUGUUACUCAACAUUAUGCGCAGCCAUUCUAGAGAGCGGAGGUCGUUUUUGUGCAUCAAAUUUGGAGACAGAGCACCACACUUAACAGAAACUUGUAUACUAUAUAUCUGCACACAACAGAAUGUCAGAAUAUGACAGUAUGGCAGAUUAUUUUUAUGAUGUUGGUAGCCUGUGCAGGUGUAUGGUGGGCUUUACACAAGGGAGCCCUAAUCACCAGCUCACUGAUGUCCGUCGCAGCCACUACGCUUGUUGUUGUCAGAUCCUCCUGGUUUGUUCUAUAAGCCUUCUGGUACCUGUGUUCCCUCUCCUUGGCUCUGCUCUGCCUCAAGAGACAUGGGAAGGGAGAGGGGUAAGAAAAAAGAGGAAAGUAAAACAAGGGCCCAUAUACAUGCGCACUGCAUUUGCUGCUUAACUGUGGAACUUGGUUGCUUUACUCAGAUGGCGUCAUUGUGUGGAUUGAUUGCUUGGAAGUUGGAAAGAUUGAACAAUGAACGGAUGCUGUUUUAGUUUCGGUGUUGGUACCUUGUUCACCUUCGAACUGCAGUUCGGACGAGGGAGUUUAUGUAUCAUAUUGGCCUUAGCUUCUAUGUGCCCCCUCACUAAUUUAUUAUUGUGAAGUACCAGAACUGGACCUCUUCUUCUUCUGGCGAUCCCAAGUCCUUCAAUUUGUUUGAUAUGGUUUGCUCACUUCUGGGACUGACUGGUUUCUUCACGGCAGUUGUAAUUCUCCCAUUGCUCUUGGUUUAUACGGAAGACAUCAAGAUGAGAUGCAACACUUCGUCUUAUGAUCAAGGUGUGAACUUUGUCUGUAGUUACGUGUCUUAUGAUCAAGGUGUGAACUUUGGCUGUAGUUACGUUCUCUGUAGUUGCAUGCCUGGAAGUUCAUAUGUACCGUGCGAGACCCCUAAUGUAUAUAUUUUUUCCGUAGCGGGCGAACGGGAAUCCCGUUGCCCUAAGCAAUUAUCGUGUAUCGGUUUCACUAUUAUCGUGUACCGGUUUCUUGUGAGCGGUUGAGAAGGGUUAUAAAAAUGACACGCUCAAUUAACGUGGUUUUCUCAGUUGUGCAAGCGACCACUCAUAUUAUGCGCAUGGCUGCAUUUGCUCCUGAGAUUUGAUGUUUGACUUUUGGUAGGGUAUCGAUGUUUCAUGUAUGUUUGUGAAGAAGAGGUUCCUCGUAGAUGUGCCUGUCAUUGAGUCACUGAUUCGUGGGUCCGGUCCUAUAUGUUAGUCACCUAACUCGUGUUUGUUAGGUGCUGAGUUGAUGUUGCACCCGGCAUCAGCUUGCAUCGGUGACUUGGUGUGCCUUUGUGUUAAUGGAAUUUCACAGUUCCUGUGAAAAACCUCAUUCAUAUUUGUUUUUUUAAAGAUUCAUAUUCAUAUUUGCAGUGCUGGAAUUUUCUAGGACCGAAAACAUGGCCAGCUCAAUGCACCAUCGGCUCUGCUGCAAUUUUUUUUGAAAAAGACUCUGCUGCAAUUUCUCCUCCUCCAAGCCAAACGGGAAGCCAAGACUCUGCUGCAAUUUCGCCGCGUCUAUCACCUGACGAGCCCUUACAAUACUCUCCCGUUAGGAUUUUGGAGGUCUGAUAUGUCAUGCCACGUUAGGAUUUUGGCAAAUAUGCAAGGACUCGUAAUUUGUUAGAGCAUUUCUAAAACUAUCAUUUGAAGAGUGAUUGUCCGUAAGGAUGGUAAAAAAUUAAAGGUCAGUUUGAUAAGGUUCCAACUCCUCCUAAUAAGAGGAGAACCUGAAGCCUCUGAAGCCUCAUCUCCUCUUGGUCUCCCAUCAUCCAGAAAUUUGCAAAUUCAAAUUUGAGUUUCGCGCCGGAGUGACAUUAUGAAACGGUGACUGCACGCUAGAAUGCCAUUUCAGCUUUUCUAAUUCAUUUAGUUUCUUUUCUCCCCUCUUUAGCCACAGGAAAAGGCUGAAUUGCCCCCAGCCUGCCUUCUUUUCCCUCACGCAAGCAAAGCUUCACGGCGGCGGGCCUUGGUGGCACACUGGCACUCGAGCUUGAUAGGGAGGGAGUUCGAACCGCGGCGAGGCAAAAUAGAAGGCACGGAUGCUUGAUUCCAUGGCAACAAACUUGAUUCAGGCAAACAUUAGGUAAUGCAAAGGUCGAUUUGUGCUCCAUUGGGUCUCGAUUUGCUAGUUUGGAGAUUGAUUUGAGCUGCUAUGGUGUUUGGUUCAACAGCAUGACAUCCUCAUAUUGCUCCACGGGGCCUUCUUGUUUUCACAAAAAGCACCCAGUCAUCAUUAGCGAGCGCGAGGUCAAGUCUGUGAGAUGGGCAGUCUUGCGGCAAAUCUAGCUGCCGGUCGUCACAAGCUGCAGGCUGACCUCCAUCACUGGCCGUCGCAGGCCCCGCCAUUGGGGGACGCCGCCGCCGACUUUGCCUGCGCGAUGGCUCCUGGCCCAGCGAAUCAAGCCGGAGUUCGCUCCUCUUCGGCAGUUGGGCCCGUGGCCCCGUGCUUCAUCGUCGGCGCGCUGCAGCACGCCGCUGCGGAGCGGUGGGACGCUGGCUGCUGACGAUUCAGGCGGGGCUAGGCGGGGCCGAGGCCCCGUAUAGCCCCGCGUUGGCCGGCGGUGGCCCAGCUCCGCUCGUUCGUCGUGAGAGAUAGAACAAGGCUGGAGGAACGGGAGAAGGAAGAAAGAUGAAGAUAAGGUUCGAUCCAGCGGCAUAAUGGUCUGUUCACGAGCCAUGAAGUAAAGGAAAUCUUUAAAUCAAUUAAAAGUAAAGAUGAUGAAAAGGCAUUUUGGCGAAUGGCCACAGUUUUUAUAAGGUCAUCCGCAACAGUCCUAGCUAAUUGCUAGCUUGGAGCCAUCCAACUCAGCACUAAAUAGCUAACUACAUCUAUAUAGUGCUAGCUAUUUGUUAUUUUUAGUACUUUCAUGCACAGAGAAAGAACGGAUGUGGUGGCGAUUUGGCGCAUCGUCGCGCGUGCGAGCUGAGCGACGAGCAAGUCGCCGGCUUGAAUAUUUUGCAUCUUCUCUUUCCUCCACAUAGGAUAUAUGCUGAGCUGUACACUCAAAUAGCUAGCUGACUCAGCACCAUUGCGGACGCCCUAAUGCAAUCUAGCGAACCCAAAUUUAUGGCACUCGCGAAGUCCACGUCAGAGGACCCCUCAUCCAUCUUUUUUUAAAAUACGACCCGACAGAGAUUGCUAUUAAUUAAUAGUGAAGAGAGUUACUAAACUAGGCUGAAAAAAGAAAAGCAAAUUGUACGAUAACUAUACAGUUUUGCUUAAAAAGGUGAUCACUUCUUAAUUUGACAGAUAUCGCUCGAGACCUUACACCCGUUAAAAUCUAACAUCGUGCUUCCUCCUUGAUUUUGCGUAGUAGUUAGUCCAAGCUUUUAAACUUUCGCUGGAAAACUCUUUCGUUGCGUUCCUUCCAAAGCUCCCAUGACACAAGAAUGAUGAGGGAUUUCAAACCCUUCGGGGACGCGCCAGGCAUAGAUCCUAAUUGUAUCCACCGUUCACCGACGAAUAACAAGGUAGACUAAUCCCGCCUCGACGGAUGACAAGGUAGACCAAUCCUGCCUGGGUGGUAUGUGUGUGGUCAUCCACUCAAAGAUUUUAUUCCAAAGUCCAACCGUGUAGCGGCAGUUUGUUAGUAGGUGCAGCAACGUUUCAUCAUGCGUAUGGUAAAAUAUACAUAUUUUUUUAGUUAGAUCAUCCUGUUAUGAUUAGUCGAUCCACUGUCUAUAAACGAUUUUGGAAGGCUAGCCGUGAUAAGAAUUUACACUUUGGGCGCCCACUUCUUACAUAUGAGUCGCUCCAUCUCGGAUGGUGCUGACCCAUCAUCCCAUCGACCCAUCCCAUCUCAAAUCAUCCCAUCUCAAAAAGAAGGCUCGCAUCAUAACGCCCGCCAAAAAUGGCGGGCCUCGGCGGCGGAGGCUGGGGCGGCUACUACGACGAUGACGACUGGGACCUCAGCGCGGAGCAGCUGGACCAGAUCGAGCGGGACGCCAUCCGCCAGCUCGCCGAGCGGAAGGCCUCCUCCUCCGCGGCCUCCACCGCCCCCGUCCCCGCCCCCGCACUCGGGGCCGUCUCGCCGCUCCCCUCCCGCGCCACCGCGCCGGCGGCGGCCGCCUCGUCGCCUCUCGGGGGUAACCACCCCGCUGCCAGGGCCUCUUUGGAGGCCCGCUUCGGCAAGGUUAGGGCUUCUCUGCUCCGUUGCUGUUUUGUGCGGUUACUUGUUGGCGCAUUGGGGAUUGGCUCGGUGCUCGGAUUAGUGGAUCCCUGUGGCAAGGCACAUCGAGGACUUGUUGUUCGGUCAAUCCCCUCUACAAGUGGAUUGGAGGGGAUUUCGACUUGUAGGAGUUUCUUUGCUCCGAAGAUGUUAAUCCAUUCGGAAAAUGGUUCUCUUAUCUCUUUUCUUUUAAGCUCUUAGUACUUUGUAGCGACUUUCCCUCAAAAAAUAGAGUUAAUGAAGCAGUUCGUUACUGUGAUACGAGUUUCGAGUUUCGAUCAAUGCAUAUGUGGUGGUAUACUUGAGAGCUUUCUCAUCAAGUCAUUCCGUGGAACUGGGUUCUUUUGGCGACUCGAUUUUCAGUUUGAAGAAAUGGCGAUUUUUUCUGUGUUUUCUAAGUCCAUAGUUUCGUGCGCAACAUUGAUGCGACUGGUCUGUAACUAGUUAUGUUCAAUUUACUGUUGGGAUGUUUGUGGUUCAAGUACCACCAGGGUAGGUGAUAAUAAGCUCAAUCUUGAUGUAGGAUUAUUUCCAAUUUGUUGUCUUCAUCUUGAGGUCCAGUUAAAAAUAUCUUUUCUUUAACAGUCUUUUUAUAUGUCCUGCAUUUUAGCAUGCAAGAUUGAAAAGCAAACGUUAAUCGAUAGCCUUUUCUCUUGUCAAAAUAAAAUCGAUGGUUCUGGCUGGAUUAUCGAUACCUUUGGUGUUGAGAGGAUCACUGUUUUAGCAAUAGUUAACCUGUUAGACAUAGAUGUUUUUUACUGCUGCAGCUCUUAGAUUCUUUUAUAUUCCUAGCUUACAAUAAACGUGACCCCUAUACUUUUCAAUUUCACUUUUACUCCUUCAACUUAUUUCUCAGGUAGAAGCACUUUCUCCUAUGAGAAAUGCAGGUAAACAUCAUUACUCGUGCUUUCAAUUUGUCCUAUAACUAAUUCUUAAGUUUAUUUAUCCUUUUCUUUUCAUUUGCCAUUCAAGUGAAUAAUAGCCAGGGCAGUGCACCUAAGGUAUCUGUACAUCUUUUCCUCCAUUCUAGCGGUGUGAUUGCAGCAAAGUUCCCAUACCACCAGGUACAUUCCCCACAAUAGAUCUUGAAUAGGUUGUCAGUGUCACUGAGGUGCUGUUCGGAUCAUUAGUUCAUGGGCUAAACUUUAGCCCCUAAACUUUAGUCCUGCUGGGCUGUUUGGAUCCAUGGGCUAAACUUUAGACUUUCAUCAAACAAUGACUGAUUUGCCUCUCAUUUAAUGACUCCAUGCACAUGCGAGUGGGGUUAUGGGGUGUCCAGCGCCCGCCCCGAGGGACUUUAGCCCAGUUUAGGGCCUCUUUGGGAGCAAAAAACUUUAGCCCAGAUUUUAGCUAUUUGCUCACUUUAGCCCACCUGUUUGGAUCCCCAUAGCAAAAAAAUGGGCUAAAAGUGCAGGACUAAAGUUUAGCCAUGGGAUCCAAACAGGGCCUGAAUUGUAUCAAAAUAUAAUUUGCUUGCUUCUGCUUAUUUUUCAGUUACUUGUGGAUGCAUGUCGCAAGAUCCCGAAAGCCAGCUGGAAUGCGAAAGAAAGGUUUUCUUUACUUUUCACACACUCCUUUAAUUUCCAUGUUCAUUAGAUAUUCUCUUAGACAUGGAAAAACUUGAUGCCUGCUGUUAACUUCACUGUUUAUUCUGAUCGUUUUUUACUUAAUCCAAAACAAUAGGAUAUGGAUGUUCCCUCCCUCAUCUUUAUCAAUAGCAGAGGAGGUUCUUGAUUCAGUGCAUGGAUUAGCUGUAGAGGUAACAGUUAUCAUCUGUAAUCCCGAAAGCUAUGAUGCUGUUUGUUGCAAGAACGUCUUUUUGAUUAUUUUAUUUUAUUGCCUUCUUGCUUAGUUGGUUAACUUAUAUGCUAUUCCUACUCAAGUACUCAACUUCUGCAUAAUUUGCAUGGUUAGCCAUUAAACAUAAUCAAAUUCAAUGUAGCACAUAAAAAAGUAUGAGCAUGAAGUUAGGACAAAGCUGUUAUGGCCGCAAGUCCAUUUUGUGUAGUUCUGUGUGUUUUUUAAUUAUGUGAGGAUGUUUGCAAAGCUUGUAUUUUCAGCUUGCAAAAACUCAAUAGACACAAGUUUUAAGCUUCAUUAUGCCAUCCUCCAUAUCAUAGGAAGCUUUUCAAGACUCCUUUUUCUCGAACGUGCAGGAGAACUGCAUUUUUUAAUACUUCAAACAUGACCUAUUUUGAAAUUUCUGUCAUGUGCAGAGUAAUUUUGACUUCUGAGCAUAUAUUCAUUCUGAUCAUAUAGUGUACUUCCCUAGCAGGUUCGCAAAUUGGAUCCUCUAGUUCAGCGUGCUUUAGUGGCUGCUUUAGCCUCCAAAGAUCUUCGAGGUAUCAAAAAGUUUCAUAUUGUGCUUAUAAAAUUUACAUUCACCCGAUGCAUAGAUACUGUAUACUUGUAAAUUUUGCACCCACUUGUCACCAAGGUGUUGUCAGAUAUAAACUUUCUUUCUUUCUUUAGUAUCCGCUUGAAAUAUAUAAUGAAAAUAUGAAAAUCCAAAUAUUUCAUUGUGCAAUGCAGAAUGCGAAUCAAAAUGAUCUGUUAUUAAUAUUUUCUUUUGAAUUUUGGACUUGACAUUUUGCAUGCUGCUAACCUCAUUUUUCUUGGAGAAGGUUUCUAUGACAGGAUUCCCCCUGAAGUUGAGUCAAAGCUUAUGCCAUUUCAGCGUGAAGGCAUCAGGUGUGGUAAUUCAACAUUCUGAAACUCUAUUUUAUGCAUAAUGGUGAAAAAAUCAAUUCCAAUAUUGGCAUGUUUUGCAUUAUAUUGAGCUUAGUAACCCUAAAAUCAUUUUAUAGGAAAAGGUAAAUCACCGGUGGAUGGUGGUCAAAUAUUCCUCCAAAAUAUUUUUUCUGUUCAAUUUACAUCAAGUGCAUUACAUACUUAAACAAUGAGAAGAAGAAAUAGGCACCCAAAUUCGAGCUAGAGGGGACUCGAACCUGGGUGGUUAGAGUGCAUGACCACACCUCCCUCUCUAACUAGUUGAGCUAGGCUCACUUCCUAUGACUUGCUGACUCAUAAAGUCAUACUGUAAACAAAAUGAACAGUAUGUUACUCAUGCUUUUUUUGUUUGGUAUCCAACUAUUCACCAUAUCAGAUGCCAAAUCUUGAGCUUGGUAGUAUGGUAACCAUAAGCCAGGAGCCUAACUAUGAACUUUGGAUCAUUGCAUAAGGUUAAUAGAUCAUAAUUAACCGUAUGCUUCACAUAAUUGCAGGUUUGUUUUACAGCAUGGUGGCAGAGCCCUGAUUGCAGAUGAAAUGGGUCUUGGAAAGACAUUACAGGUAAAGCAUCGUCUCUGAAUCAUGAUCAUCAUUAUUUUCCAUAUUUUCUGCGUUCAUGACCUCCCUGGCCUGCACUUGAUUCCAAUUCUUACACUGCAGAUGGACCCAUCAAUCAAUAAUUAAAAGUUUGAUAGUUUUACCUUUAGCAUUUCAUGCUGAAUGGAUUCACAUGAUGGUAUUGAUUUGUGCUAUCGACUUAUGAAUCAUGAUUUUUGAGACUGAUCAUCCAUGGCAUUUAGUUUGAUGGAAGUAAAGCACGUUAGUUCUUUUAGGCACUAAUUUUUUUUUCCUAAUUUCCUAUGCAGGCAAUUGCUGUUGCUUCUUGCCUUCAUGAUGCCUGGCCAGUUCUUGUAAUCGCUCCAUCUUCCUUGCGAUUGCAGUGGGCAUCUGUAAGCUCCUCUUAUUUUUUGCACCUGGCGAUUUUUCAUUUAGCAAUAGUUUCUUUAUGGAAAAGGAAGAUCUAAACUUGAUAAUUUAUUGUUUUGAUAGAUGAUUCAGAGUUGGCUUAACAUCCCCAUGGAAGAUAUCUUGGUACAUCCUAAACUUUUUCAUUCACUAGUUCUCCAUUAGAAAGUUUUAUUCUGCUAGUGAUCUUGUUUAAUUAAAAGCACGUUCGUGAAUUCUUCUCCAGAAGCAAAUUAUCCCUAUAUUUGUUAAUAUCAUGAUGAUCAUAUUGUGAAAUACAACAUAAUGAAGAAAGAAAGAAACCAUUGAAAUUUUUUGUAAUUCCUGGCUAACCUGGAUAAAGUUCUUUUUGGAUUGUAAGCUGACAUAUCACUAUUAUCUUAUGUAUACAGGAAACUUGAUAUGGAAUAAACCACAUAGUUUGACAAGUCCUAAACAUAAAAUAUGCAAAUUUAUUUCGUUCCUUAUGCUGAGGAUAUGGAUUAUUGUCUUUUCAGGUGGUAUUGCCACAAACUGGAGGAUCACAUAAGGCUGGAUUCAGAUUGGUUUACUCAAACACUAAAGGAGAUUUUCGCUUGGAUGGGGUUUUCAAUGUGAUAUCUUACGAUGUAGUUCCCAAAAUACAAAGCACACUUCUGGAUUUGGAUUUCAAGGUAGAUUAUUUUGUCGUAUAUUUCAUUUCAUUUGAGAACUAUCUUCGGAAAGGUACGCAUAAAAAUCAGCAAUACAUGUGCCCGAUCCAUGACCUAGGCUACUGGCCCCCCUUAUACUAUUAUUGUUACUACUACUAUAGUACUAUUAGUACUACCUCUGUUUUAUUCUCUUAUCUAUGGCUUUUUGUCAGGGUUUCACCUCUAUCCUACCCAAACUUGCUUGGGACUUAAAAUUUUUUUCAUUUCAUUUGACAUCUAUCUACUCAAUACAAACACUUUUCUUAUUGAAUAUAUCCAGAGGAUUGAUUUUACACCUAAAUGAUUUCACACUUUUCUUAAAUUUGUGGUAGUAUAGGACCAUCAAACUCAUUUGAUAAAUAUGAGUAUUCAUGUAGAUUAGAGAUUGCUUGGCUGUGGAAGGAGGUUUCUUUUGUUUUGUCUCAGCACUGGAUGGAGUGAUAUUUUUGUACGUGUGUCUGAAGUAUUUUUACUAUAUUAUAAGAGUUCUGUUGCUGUCUUUGCAGGAUGGAUUAGUAUAGCUACUUAUUUAAAUUACGAAUACUUAGGAAGUUAGGGGAUCGAUUUAUCACUUGAUUGCACCGGAACAAAUAAGGUUUCAAACUAAACCUUCCAAAAAAGGAUCAAAUACUUUUCAUAGAAAAUAUCUGACCAUUUAGAGAUACAAUAAUGCAGACACCUUCCAUUUUGCAUGCAUGUACAGCUAGAACUAGUGACGCUAUUGUUUUCUGAUUCUAUUUAAUUGAAAUACAAAUAGUUAUAUGUUUAAUCUAUCUAUAACCUCUUAAAUGGUUUUCAUCCAGAUUGUUAUAGCUGAUGAAUCACAUUUUCUGAAGAAUGGCCAAGCGAAGAGAACGAUUGCUUCACUUCCUGUUCUGCAGGUUUGGUAUUUCUUAUGAGAAAAUGCUUUUUCUUUGGGAGCAUGAAUAUGAUGUCCUAAUUUGGACAAGACGCUUGCAUCACGGCCAAUUACAAUUUCGUGAUCCUCAGAUCAUUAGAGGUAAACAUCAUACUGAAGACGGUCAAAUGGGGAUGACUGGAUGGAUCAGGAUGAAUGAUAACCAGACGGGUGCUUUAGAAUUUAGGUCAAGAAAAGAUUAACUCAUUUUUGCUUUAGCAGCCAACCACCCCUCAUUUAUAGGUGUGGUUGCCUCCUAACAAAAUCUCUAUACCAAAUUUUGUCUUUAUCUCUUAUCCCUUACAAACACUUCUCUCUAGCAGACAAUCUGUUAGCUACACGAUAGACAACUAACCUGGGACCAAUACUACAGCACUGUGCAAUAUGAUUCACAUGAACAAUACAACUUUGCUCAUAACACAGACUUCACUUGAGUGGCGUUGUGUACUUGCCUAGUUCUUUCAUAGUUUGUUCUGGCAAAUAGUUCCAAACUUUCACAAAGUCCUGCAUGGUGCUAGUCUGACCGUGAUGAAUUGUUUAUAUAGUUUUAUCAGGUCUGGAGGCCGCAUUGUUUUUUAAAUACAUUAUUCUUGCUUUAGGAAACAUUGUCUUACCUGAUUAGGUGACCAGUAGGGGUUUCUACCCAAUUAAUAUACGGAUUUGCAGAACUAAUUGUGACUUACAAUCACAGAAAGCUCAAUAUGUCAUUUUGCUUAGCGGAACUCCUGCUUUGUCUCGCCCGAUUGAGCUGUUUACUCAGGUAAACGUUGUUUCCAGAUUUAGCUGCACAUGUUUAAUAAUGCUUAAAAGUAGAGUGACAACUAAUUUUUCUGCAUAUCCAGCUCCAGGCACUGUAUCCUACUGUGUACAAGAAUGUUAGCGAGUAUGGCAAUAGAUAUUGCAAGGGUGUAAGUACUAGAUUUAUCAAAUUACUUCAUUUUCUGUUGCCAACUGUGACUGAUAAGUACAUGAUUUUUCAGGGCUUUUUCGGGGUGUAUCAAGGUGCUAGCAACCAUGAGGAGCUGCAUAAUCUGAUGAAAGCAACUGUCAUGAUCCGUAGGUUGAAAAAAGAUGUCCUUUCACAGUUGCCUGUUAAACGUAGACAACAGGUAAUCUCAUGGGGGAUUUGCAUCAUCAUAAGAAAUGUUGAUUAACUUCAUUUUGUAAAUUAGAAAUAUUCCUUUUUGCUCAACUCCAAGAGUUCCAUUUAAACUGACAGUUACUCAGGUCCAUUGAUCACUAUCACAAACCUUUUAAACAGUGCCUCAUUGCCCAAUUGUUUCUGUGCCUUUUUAUGUUGGCUAUGCUUCUUGUUUCUUUGCAAUGGUUAAAACUAUAGCAUUGAGAAAAUCUGUUGAAUUUUGUUUUGAUGAUCUUACACACUGAGUCAGUAAGAUAAUCUUUUGGGGCAUAGCUUUUAUGUGAUCUUAGUUCUUAUUGUACUGGUAUUUUUCUUGAAUAUACACUACACUUAAUGAUUUCAUUUCUCGUCAAUCUUUCAGAUCUUUCUAGAUUUAAGUGAGAAAGAUGUGAAAUAUGUCCGUGCUCUGUUUCAUGAGGUAUUAUCUGUUUCUAUCCUUUCCCCGCAAAUGAUAUAUUGUAGCAUAUGAGAGCACAGAACUAGUUUGUGGUAGCGCAACCCAUCUGGAUUUCAUAUAGUGACAUUGUUUGAGCGACAUACUCCCAUACAUGAUUAUUUUUCAUUACUGAAGAGCUUUCAGAUGGUGUACUGGUUUAAUCAGUACCGAGUCAUAUGAUUUAUAUUUACUGAAAUUGCACAAUUGUCAAAAGUAAGAAUAUUUUAUUCUUCUCAUAUUAUUCUAGAAAAGUAAAAUGCUCGUUGGACUUUUUUUCUUUGCAUGUUUCUAUCAUUUAGGUGUUUUUGAAACGCUUCAUCUUCAUUUUUUUAACAUGGAAACAGAGGGAAAGUAUGCUCCCCUUGGUUUUUAUUUCGUUUCUACAUCAGUGCAAUCAUUUAAAUUACCUUUUUUAUUUGAAAUUAUUCUAAAGGAAAGUGUGAUUUUGCUAGUUGGAGACUCUGAAGAUCAAAAUCGAGUCCGCUGACUCCAAGGAGAUGAUUGACUCUCUCAAAUUUACUCAAAAGAACCUUAUCACUAAGGUAAUCUGGAAGUGCACCCCUUUAUGCUCUUAUAAAGUUCAUGGGCGUUAUUUCCUUAGCAAGUAUCCUACUUUUUUAUUUACUAUAAACCAGAACCAUGUAACUCCGCCAAAGCUGAAAUAUUAUUCUUGUCUUGGCAUGCGUUACUUUUAGUUAAAAUUACAGUUUCUGCAUUUUUUUAGGUUCUGUUGGCUUCUGGCAUGUGAAUUAGCCAAUUUGGUAAUACUGCAAUUUUAAUUCUGAAAUCUUUGGAUAGGUCAUUCGUUGAAACACUCACAUAAAGUUCAUCAUCUUUCUUUUUCGUUCUUCUAAGUGGUAAAGCUAGCACUGAAAUCAGGAGCAUAUUCUUUUCCAUAUUAUACAAUUGUAUUCAUCUUUGUUAUUUGCACUUGGCAUCAAGAUUGAUUCAUGUUAUACAUUUUUCCCCUUUCAUUUAGCUCACUGUGAUGAGUCUGUAUCUGAACUAGUCUGGAUGCAUGAUUCUGUUUCAUCCUUUUUCAGCUCUACACUGAUUCAGCCACAGCCAAAAUUCCAGCUGUGUUAGAUUUCCUGGGCACUGUAAUUGAGGUGAUUACAUGAUAUUAUGAUUCUGUAAAUUUAUUAAAUUGUCCUUUUGUUCUACCUUCAUGCUACCAUAUAUUGAGAAAACUGCCACAAACUUGCUAACUACUGCCAGUUUCAUGAUUCCAAAUGAUGAUUGUAUCUUCUUCCUGAAGCUGAUAAUCCUGUUGAUUUUUUUACCAACUAACUAGCUAUGCAUGGCACUCAUAAUUUCCCUGUGUUCCAUUUCCUUUCAUGGGGACCAUAUUUUAACAGUGUACGAUUUGAAAAAAGGAGGCAAUAUCCCUCCUUUUCAUUUUUUUACUGAGACAAACUUGAUGCAACUCUAGUUAGAGCUGAUCUUUGUUUCGUUUGUUGGCCCAUUAUUCUCAUUUGAAUUAUGGAACAAAACUUACAAGUAACGGCUAUUGCCUUACCUUCUACAUCCAGGCAGAUUGCAAGUUCUUAAUAUUUGCUCAUCAUCAAAACAUGGUUGAGGCCAUCGAACAAUAUCUCUUGGUAAGAAUCUAAUAAUGUAUUUGAUGUUACUUGUUUAUGAUGCAUCUGGACCAACUAUUUAUCACCAUAUUUCAGAAAAAGAAAGUGAAGUGUAUCAAAAUUGAUGGCCAGACGCCUGUAACUACAAGACAAACCUUAGUCACAGAUUUCCAAAAUAAGGAUGACAUCAGGGCAGCUGUGGUACGUUUUUACCCAUCUUCUGUGCUUAAUAUUCAAUUUUAGUUUUUUUCUCAAAUCCUUCUUAAUGAACAUUAAGUUUCUGGCAGAGUUGUUGAGAAUCUUUUUUCUCUAUAAAUUAGAAAACAAGAAACUGUAUAUUGAAGGUGAUAACUGGUGGCUGAUAUUUCAAGCUCCAGCAAUUAGUCACUGUAUAUUCUCUAUUUUUUUUUUUGAAAUUUGCUGCCGUUCCUGCUCAAUAAUCUAGCUGUGGCAUUGUUGGCUGGAAUUGUCAGCAAUUGUAUACUUUUAGUUUCUUUUAGGAUAACUUCUACCUUGGCAAUAGUAAAUUUGGGUCCUUAGAUAACAAGUUGUUUCUAUGAAGGUUUCAAAACAUUUUUAGUUAACUGCCACGAAAUACGUGGUAUUAUGCAAUGUUAAAAACUAUGCGGAUAAUUUUCUUUUAAUCAAAUUUCCUGUAGUGUGUUCUUGGUUAAAAUCUAAUGAGAGCCUAGAACUGUAGUUAUCCAUCAGAGCUGGAGGCUACGGGUUAACUUUGACAGCAGCAAGUACAGUAAUCUUUGCUGAGUUAUCAUGGACUCCUGGCGACAUUAUUCAAGCUGAAGAUCGUGCCCACCGGAUCGGUCAAGUGAGUAUCACACUCGUGAUUUUGUAGCCAGCAGAGCCCUUUAUUUUUUUGCUGUGAAUUUUAUGAUUUGUUGAUUUGAUGGGACUGCAUCAAUGUUUUCUGUGAUAAUUUAUCAGUAAGCAUUUUUAAACAUUUAUGGACCUUCAGUUGAUAAUUCGAAGUUCCACUCUUAUUUUCUUAACAAUUCCAGGUUUCAUCAGUCAACAUUUAUUACCUUCUCUCAAAUGACACUAUAGAUGAUCUUAUGUGGUAUGUCCUGAAACUUUGUUUUCCCUAUGUACAUGUAGUGAUUUAGGUCAUGUACUCAGUAGGUUUUUUGUUCUGGCUUUGCUUCCCAGGGACGCUGUUCAAGGCAAACUUGAAAAUCUGGGACAGGUUCUCUCCCUCCCUCCCUCCCUCCCUCCCUCCCCCUCAUAACACUAAGUUUUUUAUGACAAUGAUCGACACCAUGAGUUCGACUGAGGAAGCAAUCCUUUUGUUAUGUUCUUCAGAUGCUGGAUGGGCAGGAGAAUACGCUGGAUGUUUCCCAGAUCGACUCCAGGCCAAGCCCCUCAAAGCAGCAGAAGACGCUUGACGGCUUCCUCAAGCGGUGCAGCACCUCCACGGAGGGUCAGCCCAGCACGAAGCACCCUCGGUUCUGAGGGACCAUCGCGGAUCAAUGUGUCGCUGUGAACGCGUAGGAAUGGCUGUGCUGUAGGUUCUGUUUGGAUUACGGCUGAUGGUAGCCGUGGUUGCACCGGCAGGGUCGGUUGCAGUGCUGUUGUAUUUUGGCUCUUGGUUGGUUGUAAAUGCCAUGUGGAGUUCUUACAAAUAACUCGGGUUUGUAAAGUAGAUCAUCAAUGAUCCACAUGUUUGUUAUGCUGAUUGCAACGUGCCACCCGUUGCUUCUAUUCUAUUCGCAUCUGCUUGUGCUCUUCAAGCCCUGGCGAUUUGAUGGACCAGAUUAUUUCUUUGACUAUCAUAGACUCGUACUAUGAAAGACUUUGAACUGAAAGGUAGCACUAGCUCUAUCAUGAACAAUUUAGCACCUGAUUUGAGUGAAGUUGUGCAAGUUGGAGUUGUAUUUGUUUGAUAUGUAUUUAUAAUUUUUUAAAAUGGGAAGAUUUGUAUAAAGUUAUAGAGGAGAAUUUUUUGACUGAAAGUUGAGAGGAGAUGCUAGUGCCAUAGAUAGGCCGUACCAGAAUCACCCUUUUCUGUCAAAAUGCGAACGCUUGGCGGGCCUGUAUUAUACUGGAGAAAGGCCUACUUGUAUCCCGGGCCCGGCCCACGCAAUGAAAACCUAAGCAGCUCGAGCGCUUGUCAUUUUCCUAGCAACGGGCAGCUCACCUCGAGGCCACCUCGAGGCUGCGACGGCCGACGGCCUCGGGAGAUUUCUCCAGGAAGAGUGUUAAUGGGCCUGAAGUUUAAUGGAGGAAGGGCCUCCCAAAUCCUGGCCCACUAAAUGAAAACCUAGGCCACGGAGCUCAUCUCAACGCCGCCUUCCUACGCUUGCCAAUUUCCGCCGACCGAAUACAGCCGGCGGUGACCUCGACGCUGACACCUGUGACGGCUUGAGGGGACUUCACCCGGCGACCUACCGACGGCUGACCUCAAUCCGGCGCCCGGCGGCUUCUACUCAGGUAAACCGCUGAGGAUUUGAGGCUCGCGGUUCGAGUUUCGCGGCCUUAGCUUGUGACCCUGCGCCGCCAACGGUUCCUGAUUUAGUCACUGCACUUCGAUCUUGCAAGUCUCAAUUUCUCAAUGUUCAGUUUCGUAAGCGUCCCUGUUCUGUCCUUUGCAGUAGCGUUCCGCUCUCCUGGGUAUUGGGCUAUUGGCAGUCUCUGUUUGGUGCCGAUGAGCAAGAAGAGGAAGUCUCUGAAGCCAACCAAGUCGUUGAGAGAUGCUGAAGAAGUGUAAGCGCUUUGCCCCAUUGCCAUAUUAUUAUUUUCCUGGUUAAUGAUUUCUGAUGCUCUCUUUCGAUUCCUCACGCUGCUAUUUCACUGGUGUACUUUCGUUAUGCAGACUAACUCCAGAUUACAUUGUAGGAGACGCUCUUGACGACCUAUUGUCGAAACUUGUCAGGUAACAGCAGCUAUCACUCCUCACCCCCCCCCCCCCCCCCCCCCCCCCCCCCCCCCCCCCCGCGUCGCUUCAUUCUGAGAUUGAGAAAGGCCUAAAAUAUUUUCUUCUUCAGGAGUGUAGAGGUUGCAAAGGCUUCAAGGGGAGGUUUACCAGAAAAUAUAUGGAUGAAGGUAUGUUAUCCUUACCUGGCUUCACCAACAUUUUGCCAUCUGUUCUCCUGAGCAAGCUCAGUACAUUAUGUUUUUUUUUCUCUUGCAAUUAUGAUGUUUUGCCAUUGCAGAAACAAUUUGCUAUCGGGGUCAAUGAUGUGACAAGGGUUCUCGAGAGAAUGCCUCCCGCUGCUGCCCCUGAUUCUGCUCACAGUUCUAGUGAAGCACAAACUGUCUCAGGUCGGCGUAGAGCUCCUUUGGUGCCACUGCAGGUUAGUUUUCUUUGCAUCUAUAAGCAAUCUACCUAUGAAUUUGGACUACUGGAGUUUCUUACGUAUAUAUGUUAGGUGGAAUGAGAUGUGAUCGUAAUUGCAGCAUAUUUGGUCUAAUCCAUUAUGCGUUUUAGUGAAGACGAAGACAUCAGUGUGUUACUGCUUCCCUAGGAAAAAAAUUCCUGAACUUUGGUCACUUGAACAUAUUUUUGUUGCAUACUGUGAUGUUAUGCCUAAUAAUACAUUAUUGCAUCAAAUAUAUACCAUCUUCUGCAAAGUGCAAACAUAUUCAUUUGUAUUGUUUUACUUCUACAUCAUUAGCUUAUUCUGUUUCAGCUCUGUGGGCAACAAUUAAAUGAGUCAAUUAGGGGUAUGUGGUGAUCAUGUUCAGUCAAGAGCAAAGAAGGGCAAUUUCAAGUGCUGAAUACAUCUAUGACCACAAUUUGAUGAGGAAUUCUGAAACUGACAAAUAUGCCUGAUCUCAUAAUGCAACAUUGCAGGCUGUCCUUGUAGCUGCCGAUUGCAAUCCCAAGUGGUUAACAAAACAUAUACCAACCCUGGCAUCUACAAGGCAGGUUCCAGUAUUGUGCCUCAAGGACAACAAAGGAGGCUCGGUGAGGUUAGGUCAUGUGGUGAAUCUCAGAACAGCACUCGCCAUUGGAGUAAAGGUCAGCUUAUUUCCUUUUCUCGUUGAUUCCGAUACGCUAUAUUGUCUAGCAAGUAUUCAUGAGACCUGGGUUCAACUGUAUAUUAGGCCGGAGACAGCAUAAUCAACAAGACUAUUGACGAGUUCCUGGAGUGUAAUAAGCAAUGAACUGUAAAUUCUCUUAGAGCAGCAAAAUGAUGGACAGAAAAGUUUGAACUCCUGGGCGUGCAAGAGUUCCAGGACAUCUCAGAGAUGGGUUAACAUGGACAUGGAGUGAAGAGGUUUUAGAAGGGGAUAAAGGAUUCUACCAGAUCGUGGCAAUAUCAAUCUUCUCACACCGAUACUCGGAAACCUUCUCUGCCAAUACUCAUGGGAAUAGACCAGGUUAGUUUGUUAGGUUCGUGCAACUCUGAUUGAAUGGAGCGCAAAGGUAUUUGGGUAUUGCCCAUUGUAAUCUUAGAUAUUCGCCUAUGUUCUUCUCUGCUUGUCAACAAUCAUCGAUGUACAAAAAAUGUUGUUACCAUUGCAAGUUUAAUGUGCCAAGUUCUUGAGACGCUACAACACGCUCAUUUUGAUAAUAUAAUAGUGUAGUUUGGUGCCUUGGUGGCAUUCUUCUACAGCCGGGAACAUCUGUUUAUUUGGCACAUGAUUUAAUUAGCAAACCUAAAGUUGAACUACCCAUGAAGUACUCAAGCAAUCUGUUCGAUAGUACUUCAUCUGUUCAAGAAUAGUACAUGCCGCUUUGAACAAGACAUGGUCUUGAAUACGCAAGUUUGACCAUUCAUUUCCACAGUACGAAGCAUAGAAAUACUGGCCUUUUGUUAUCAGGCGGCCUAAUUGUUUUGAAAACUAUAUCUCGCAACAAAUAGUUUUGUAUAUACUAAUGAUAGAUUUGUAAGAUUCUAAAUUUGUGUAUCAUAUUUCUUUCGAGCAUUGUAUAGCAAGUACAACCCAUUUUACUAUAACCCGAGUGCAACUCAGGAUCUAAUGGUUGAAAUCAGCUGGGAUAAAUGGAGCUAAUACAUGCAUGGUUGUACUCAAAAGCAUUUCAUGUUUCUAGAUGCUAGGAGUAUCUAUGUGAGUGAGAUUUUAUACUUUUAUUGGAAAAUAUAAAAGGUGUCACAUGGGCACACAAAACCCAUGUGUAUGCAUACCCAGACGAGUGUACACACACAAUACAUAGUUCUACUACCGUGAUAUGCCAAUGAAAAUGCGUACAAAUAUGAAGUAAUAACCAUCCCAACAAGGCAUGUAACAUUGUCUUGUAAAAGAAAAACAAAACAAAACAAACAAGGCAGGGUAACAAUAGCACAGCACGUCAUGCAUUUCGAUCUUCAUUUUACCAACGGAUGCAUGCAUAAAGUAUGGUCUUAGACGUAGCACUCGUAGAGCUUGAUGUCCAUCUGCAGCCUGAAGUAGUACAGGCCCUGGAAGGUGUCGGUGCGCAGCGUGGCGACGCCGCGCGCCAUGAAGAAGUCGCCGGUGCCGCCGACGACGGAGAUGUCCCUCGUCUUCUCCGCCAUGAGGUCGGCGCCCAUGAGGUUGAGCGUGCCCCUGUGCGCCGUGGAGUUGAACACGAGGGAGAAGGCGAACCACGCGCUGGGCGCCUCCUUCCUGUCGUAGAAGUAGAACCCCUCCGCGCGCGCCACCGGCGCCGACGCCAGCGCCGGCGCAGCCGUCACCACGUCGUUGAACACUACGAUCUCGCCGAAGUAGGUGUCGUUGAUGGACACCGACCUGCUCAGCAGCGUCGGCUGCGUCGCCGCCGCCGCCGUCGCGUUCGCCGUGUUGGUGCCGUCGUAGAGGAUGUCGUGGUAGUAGACCGUCAUGUUCAGGCACGGCUCGCCGUCGUGGCUGGACACGAGCCGCCGCCGGCCAUGGGCGACGCCGGUCAUCAGUCCAAGAAGCAGUAAGAUGGCAGGGAUCACAGUGAUGAGCUUGCAAGUUGGCAUAAGGCCUUGCAUUAUUGUCAGUGUCAGACUCUGAGUGAAAGUGAAUAGACUGAGUGUCAGACUGUCGUCGGUGCAAGACUAGCUAGAAGACACUAUCCGUGAGAACCUAUAGCCAGCUCUCUUGUUCUUAUUUGCGUUGGUGAGUUGAGUGGUGCAUUGCGUAUUUAUAGAGCCAAAUGGUGUGGGAAUAUGCAGUAGAUCCGAGUGUUGAUGUGGAGCUGGUUUAAUUUGAUCCCGAUCGAUCGAUCUAGUGAAACGGGCGGAUGCGCCGGCAUAGUUGAAAUAAACGAGCAGCAUAUGUCUUGGUAAGAUUUCAGUGUCACGCAUGACUCCUCUUUUCCCUAUUUACUAUAGCUGGUGUAUGCUCGUAUAUACCAGCUAUCCAAUGGCAGUUACAUUAUUUUAAGUGCUCGACUGAAACAUGAAAAUGACCAUUCGAAUUUCUUCUUUGCCGUUUUCGUUGUCAAUAAGUAGGUGAGCACAGGCACAACAUUUUAUUGGGAUAGAUAGGUGCGUGAUUUUGGUUUCCCAAACUAGCAGGAUGGCCAUUUUUUUUACGGUAAUGCUAGGACUGGCUGUCCGAAGCCACCAGAAAUAUCAGACGUAGACAUGGACGCGUGGCACGUUUUCAUCCACAAACCUUGCGCUCUCUGCCAUAUCUAUUUUUUCUCUAAUGUUGCUGCUUGCUUCCACGCUUGCUAAUGUCUCCAUCUUUCUUCAUUCCCGGAUGCAUCUGCUACUCUCUUCUUGCUUGCUACCGCCGCUUGUAGCUGCUACUCCUCCUGCCUGCAUCUCCUAGAACUGGGGGCGUGCUUCUAGACGAGAGCUGGGGGCCGUGCUUCUAGAUGUCUACAGGGAUGUCUACAGGGGUGGAGAUGGAGGUGGAGGUCCCUCUCCCCCAGCUCCUCCUCCCUUUCCCCCGGUUGAGGUGGGUGGCAGACGCAGACCGAGCAGCGCGGCGCAACACAAUGAGUGAGAGGGUGGUGCGCGGAGAGUUCAUCCGUCGUGACAUGACGAGAAGAUGGUGCACGGCGAGCUCGCGAGCUCGUUUCCCUCCUAUAGAUGUGCAACACAUAGGGAGUGCUCUGGUCGGAAGUGGAGUAAGAUCUGUUGGUGUUAAUUGGAGUAAUAGGAUGGCAACGACGGCAUGACCUGGUGCGUGGAAUAUGCUGUUGCAAUAUGUUAUUUCUAGGUGUUACACUAUAUCAAUUUGUAUGUUGCAAUAGGUGAUUCUGGAUGUUUCAAACUUUUUCCUUUGAUGUUGCAAUAUGAGGAUUUUUUUUGUUGCGCUCUUUCUUGAUGUUGCAUAAGAUGCUCUCCAAUGUUUCAAUGGUCAAUUUUGCAAAGUUGUGAUCCUUUUGAAGAGAUUCAGAUCAGAUGUUAUUCGAGAUUUUCUAUUCGAGAUGUUGCAACUUGUGAUUUUUAUUGUUGCAACGUGUCUGUUUUGAAUAUUACAAGAAGCCAUCCGAGAUGUUUCAUGCAUGUAAAGGUGUUGCAAAUUUAUCUUCUGAUGAAUGUUGCGUGAAAUAUGACAAAAUGCCGCGCAGGGGAUUUUUUAUCCUAUAAAGAGAUGGAUGGCAUGCAUGAGUUCCAAAACUAUUUUUAGUGCAUGUGUUUCAUGUUGCAAGUGUUGAUUUUUGAUGUUUCCAUAGUUAUUUUUCAAUGUUGCAACGGAGCGUCCGAUAAAAAAAUUAUCGGACGUCGCAUGUCCGUUUUUUUUAUAUCAGCACAUUAACCAUUUCUAAUGGACACUUAAGUUCUUGGGUAAGUUCAUGAUAGCGCAAAAAAAAGGGCAUCAUAAAAAAAUGAAAAUUAAAACACUCUUUUCUUGGACCUGGAUAUUCUUGUUUUUGUUAGAUAAAAGCAAACCGCCGCUACAUUUAUUGUAUACACGACAUAUACAUAGUUUGCCAAAUGAGCGACUAGGUCAGCAGUUGAAAAAUUUACCAUAGAUGUCUCGUCAUUGACUAGUAAGUUGUCUACCACUGAAUAAAUAGUCAUACGGGUGAGGCACACAUAAUUAAGACGCGCCAAACCUAUUCGUCUGAUCCUUGGUGUGCAGAGUAUAAUAACCCCUCAAACUAAGUACUCCCUCCAUUCCAAAUUAUUAUUUGUUUUGCAUAUGGAAAGCUAUGUACUUAGAAAAGUAAAAAGGUAAAAUGAAUAGUAAUUUUUAGGACGGAUGGAGGAAGUACUUGACCAUUUUAUUACAACACAGCUUAUUCUCAUGUCACGGGGCAUUAUGAUUUUGUUGCAACCUCAUGCGCGUGCCCAUAUGAUUGAUAACUAUACUUGGAUCCAUUACUUUUACUUGUUGAAAUGACCACGCGAUGAUGAACACAUGCAUGGAAUACAUGUAAACUUGCUCGAUUGGUCGUCAGGGACAAGAGAAGCAUCAGAUGAGCUGAGUCACUCCGAUGUAUAGUAUUCCACCGGGUUUGGUGUGCGAUCAGCUCAACCAAUGAUGCAGAACUGAUAGUGAUCGAGCUGCAGCAGCAAUACAACUAAUGAACAAUCAACCAAUUAACCGAGCACGUAAACAGAUAUUUUGAACUGCAACAUGACGUGCUUUUAGAGAAUGUAAAACCUGUCGGUACUCUGUACAUAUCUGCGUGUCUUUAGCAAGGACCAGUUUGGUAAAGCUCCAGCUCCGUAUUCUCCUACGACUCUAGCUGAAGUCGUACCAAAUAGUUUAGUCAAAAACGGCUCCAUCCCUGGAGCACUAGAUGAGCCAGAGUUAUUUUAUAUGGAGAAGUCAGAGACAAAAAAAGUAGUUCAUCCGACUUCUUCUCAUUUUAAGAGGAGCUGGAGCCCUACCAAACUGACCUAAAUCGUGAGUGGAAAGAUGUGAACGUUCAUGCAGUAGUUUUUUUCCCCAAUUUUCCUUGUACAAACCUUUUUAAGCCAUCUGUUCUGAAACCAGCCGUCCAGCUAUAUCAUGACACUUGCUCUCUUAUGCUCACAAUAAACAAAGAGGUGGUGCAGUGAACGUGCCUCGGCUGCUGUUCCGUGCAACUACCUCUCCAACAGUUUGUAUAUGUAGGUGCAGCAGGACGAGACGAGUGAGGAGGAAGCAAAGCGAUGGUGAACGUGCACGCUAAGGCCUCCUCCAGAGGUGAGCCGGCUGCUGGCUCUUAAAAGCGUAUGGGGGCGCUUCCACGUAUCUGUACACUGUUAUCUGUACACUGCACCGCGGUUUGGUGAAAGAGUGGUUCCCGUUUAGGGCACCCGCACCGCAUUGUGCAUUUGUGUGCCAUGGAUUCAGUGCUUCAAAUGCCAAAUCAGGAACCAUGCUUCAUUUUUAUCAUUAGUUUUAGCUGCAACGUGCAAGCUUUCUUCUGUAUGACCUCCGAAACAAAUAAGUAGGUACUCUUCCUCCUGCCGCUUUUUUGGCUUCCUCUGACACAAGCAAAGCAAGGCUGGUUAUUGAUGAGCUAGUAAAGGAAUUGCUUUGGGCAUCGAUGCAACUAGACGUCUGCUUUUUUUAUCCGGGCAUGGCUGCUCUCUCUGCGCGCGUGGGGUGGUUGGAGUUGGAGGCGUCAGUUGUGUUGUGUUGUGCGCUUGCUCGAUCGCCCCUUCCAAAAAGUGCAUGAGCUAGUAAAGUCGAAGUUUAUAGUAGCAAUAAAAUUACUAAAAGCCAAUGCGUAAACUGUAAAUCCAUCAGCGGGAAGGCGAAGAAGUGAAGUGUUGAUGACAUCUCCACUGUCUCCAUAUGGUUGGAUCAUCGUAUCCUUUUGCUCCUCUCACACCGUACUGUAGCUGUAAUUGCAAGUCUAAAUGUGGACACGCUCGAUCGGUUGACAGGGACAAGAGAAGCAUCCGAGUCACAUUUGUAAUGGUAUGUAUGGACAUAAGUAUAUGGUGACGAUUGUAAAAUUUGAUGUGAGUUUUAUUCCUUAAAUUACGUCUCAUUUUACUGCUUUUCAAGUAGGGAAAAAGAUGGCAGAUGACUAAAUUAAUUACCUCACUGUCUUAGCUGAGGUCUGACGAUGGAAUUAAGGAGAUGUUAUUUAACGUCUCCCCUUUUUCUUCAAUUUUCUUUGGAUCGACGUUUGUAAGCCAUCCGUUCUGAAGACAGAAUUGAUCUGAAGAGGGAGAUGUUAUCAUGGUACUGCUUUCUUCAACCUCUCUUCUAUUCGUGACACUUCCUCUCAUGCCCAAUAAAGAAAAAAAAAGGGUGAAACGUGCCACUGCUGCUGGUCCGUGCAACGUACCUCUCCAACAGUCUGGAGGUGCAGCUAGCAGGGCGAGACCAGCGAGGACGAAGCAAAGUGAUGGUGCACGCUAAGAAAAAAAUAGUCGCUCGUCAACGUCAGCAUUGUUGCAUGCAUCGACCGGCGACUCACAAAAAUAGCUACUGCGCCGCGCUUUGAUGAAAUAGUCGUUUUCUUCACAGCUCUGGAACUUGGACGUCGUCCACUGCUUUACCUUCGGUUCGCUCGCAACUUGUAGGAGCGAGAGCGAGACGGGGUACACUUUUUCUUUCAGUAAUAAAAAUAGUAUUCGGCUUCAGCACCAUAAAGAGAGAAUUAGUCUACGUAUUAUUAUACUUUAGGGAAUUAAAUUUUAAAAUAGCAAUAAAAUUGUUAAAAAGUCAAUCUGCAAAUACAAGUUUAUCAAUGUGAAGCGAAGAAGUGAAGUGCCGAAGACAUGUUUGGAUCAUCAUCUCUCUCCCACCAUGUUGUAACUGCGUUCAAUGUUGGAAGUCGGAACCACUCCAUCCGUUCUAAAUUAUAGAUUAUCUUAAUAUUUUAAUGUUCAUAUUUUUUUAUUAUGCAUCUAUAUAUAUACUAUAUCUAUAUAUAUAUAUAUAUCAAAAUGACCUGGACGGGAGUAAUAUUACGUUUUUCCGAAUAAAACCCGUUGCCAUUUAUGAGAGAGACGAGGCACAGCGGCACACGACCAACGAGGGAGGGGCGCUGACGGGCCAAGCCUGCGAGGCAAUUGAAGCCCAGAGCCUUUCUCACCGUCAGCCUCUUCACUCCCGCGGGGGGCUGGAAGCUGGGCUGCUAUGAGCUCGCAAUUUGGCGCGGUAUUGAACAAAAUACCUGUUUUCCUCUAAAAAUAGUUAACUUUAUAAAAAUAGGCCAUCAUACAGUGGCAUGCUGCAAAGCGUGUUUCAAGCAUGAAUUUCUUGCGGUUGCCUAUUGGGCGAACAAGAAAUACAUCGCACACAUAUUAGAAUGGCUCGCAAAUUUUUCCCUUUUUUUGGAUUUACAACAGCAAGUCCGUGCUGUCCUUUUCUUAGAAGGCUUUAUUUCAACCACCAAAGUACACCAUCCAAAUAGUCAUAAAAAUUCCUAAACAAGCCAGUGAUUGGUGUACAUGAUGUCAUUUAGCACUCAACUAAACAAAACUGUAUGCCAAACGAUGGUUUUUUUUAAUAAAAGAUAUAUGUAGAGAAAGAUAGAAUUUUGUUUCCCUGAAAUUUGUCCAAAAUCACCUAGUUUUGGCCAUACACGUCGCUAACCAAGGUUAUUUUUGGAAUAUAAUGGUGCAAACUACUCUCUUUUCAUUCAUUUGUAUAUACAAGGCGUACUUUGACUGUACACAGUUGAUCUUUGCCCACAAGUUAUUUAUACCAUAUGAUCUGUCGUUUAACAGUUAUAAGAACAUAGUCAUAAGAAGCAUUCUCUGACUCUUAUAUUUAAACUCAUGCAAAUACAACCAUGUCGGCUUACAACAAUAUAAUGUGAUACACACAAUCCAAACGCCCACAGGUAUAAUAAUAAGUAAUCCAUGCAUUACAACAAGACGCGAAAUUAACAACACUUCACAACACACAACACAUGUACUGAUGUACGUGCUUGGUGAAAACAAUAUUAUUUGAUAUGCAUUCUUAGACGUCGUAGCAGUCGUAGAGCUUGAUGUCCAUCUGGAGCCUGAAGUAGUAGAGGCCCUCGUACGAGUCGGUGCGCAGCGUGGCGACGCCGCGCGCCAUGAAGAAGUCGCCGGUGCCGCCGACGACGGAGAUGUCCCUCGUCUUCUCCGCCAUGAGGUCGGCGCCCAUGAGGUUGAGGGUGCCCCUGUGCGCCGUGGAGUUGAAGACGAGGGAGAAGGCGAACCACGCGUUGGGGGACUCCUUCUUGUCGUAGAAGAAGAAGCCCUGCGCGCGCGCCACCGGCUCCGACGCCAGCGCCGGCCCCGCCGUCACCGGGUCGUCGAACACCACGAUCUCGCCGAAGAAGGUGUCGUUGAUGGACGCCGACCGGCUCAGCAGCGUCGGCUGCGUCGCGAACGCCGCCGUCGCGUUCGCCGUGUUGGUGCCGUCGAAGAGGAUGUUGUGGUAGUACACGGUCAUCUCCUUGCACGGCGGGUUCCUCUGGCGCCCACCACCGUGGGCGACGCCGGCCAGCUGCCCAAGCAGCAACAUCACAGCGAUCGAGCUGAUGACGAUGAACUUGGAAGAUGGCGCGUGGCCUUGCAUUGUUAAUCAGUGCAGGAUCGACUUGUGCUUAAUUAUUAAGCAGCUUGUUACUGUAGGACACUGCAGGAGAGGUGAGCAGCUAGCUCUUGCUGCUGCUGUGUUGCGUGGAGAGCUUGGAGUUGUGCAUGCCUGUUUAUUGAGCUGGUGUGGGGACUCCUGUCGAUGUGGAGUUGGUUUGAUUCAGGUGACGGGUAGCAAAUUAUGGAAGUAACAUCGUGGAAACAUAUGCACGGUUGGCGCCAACACAAUUUCAAUUCAUCUCUGGCACUUUGUGCAUAUAUAUGUUGGUAUGAUCUCGGUGUCAUAUAUGUGUGUCUAUUUCUUGUUUAGCUUGGUGUCAUACCAACCAUGCAUAUAAUGACGAUGAAUCAAUCAAUUUAUUUAUACAGUGUUCAGAUGAAACUGGCCAUAUAGUUUGCUAGUUAAUUUAUUUAUGAAUCAAUCAAGUUAAUAUAUAUGGAACUAGUUAAUUUUAUUUACUGCAAAUAAAGGUUGUGUGUGUGUGUGAGUGAAAAACUCCUUACUGAAAAGGCAUUUUCAGAGAAAAUAUACUGCAUCCUAAGAGGUUUCCUGUACACAGAAAGAUGGGUAGCAUUAAUUGUUACUUGCAUGCACAUAUAGAGACUUACAGGUGACAAGAAUCCAAAGCUCAUCCCCGAUAGACCCGAAUAUAUUUUGUAACUAAUCAAAUCAUCUAGAGUACAUAUGCCAGCACGCUUGCAGGAUGGCUCCAUUUCCAAUGAUUGAGCUAUAUCGGAAGAAAGAGAAACCAUUUGACAGGCAAAGGGAAACUCUGCAGAAGACUAACCCCCUGCAACAUCUAGAUACAUUGAUGCUCUUUUGCUCUCACUGAACACUCAGCCCGGUUGCUCCCUGUUACGUUGGAUAGAUAAUGAGUGAGGAGCAAGCAAAGGCGACUCCACAUUUCCAUUUUCGGGAGAAAAGUAUGACAUGCGCAUGCAGCAAUACCAAGAAGUGCUUGCUGCAUUGUUGGAAAGUCCUGGUUUCCAAUAAGACUAAGAUUAAUUUUCUAAUAUGCAAGGUUUAGUCUAAUAUGAAUUUUGAGUUUAGUAGCUUGAUCUACUGUCUUCUUUAUAGACUAGUUACCUAGAGCUUGAUGAUGCACGGUAGGUUUAGCUGCGCUCUAGUUCUUCAUUACAUCCUCAAAUGAAAAAAAAAGAAAAAAAGAUAUCGCUCAUUACCUUU
RNAcentral lists this long non-coding RNA (37778 nucleotides) under Setaria viridis. RNAcentral describes it as "long non-coding RNA (SVIR_LNC002470)". Lineage: Eukaryota; Viridiplantae; Streptophyta; Magnoliopsida; Poales; Poaceae. The record is from RNAcentral.